CUGUGAGGGAGACCUGUCUGGGACAUCUGUCACCCCAUUCAUUGCCAAGAUGAUCCAACUGGUAUGUGUGUCAGCUGUCUCCUUUCUCUAUCCCUGAUCCAUAUACAUUUUUCCUGAAGCUGCACCCUGGGUUGAAAACUUUCUGCAACAGAAGAAUAAUUAUAUUCUCUUGCUAGGUCCUCCAAACAAAUCUCAAGAAAAAAAUGGAAACAUCAUUAAUACAUGACUAUAA
RNAcentral lists this small RNA (232 nucleotides) under Mus pahari (shrew mouse). RNAcentral's name for it is "sRNA (MGP_PahariEiJ_G0008000.1)". The record is from RNAcentral. Lineage: Eukaryota; Metazoa; Chordata; Mammalia; Rodentia; Muridae.